This is a long non-coding RNA of Lingula anatina, 463 nucleotides long. The record is from RefSeq and is a predicted model, not a curated record. NCBI's taxonomy places the organism in Eukaryota, Metazoa, Brachiopoda, Lingulata, Lingulida, Lingulidae.
GAUGCGGGUUUCGUACUCAGCAUGUUUCACCGUCACUGAUGCUUACUUGUUCUAGUUUUAGCACUUGGCCUAAGAUACUGAAAGGAGCGAACUUCCCAGGUCAUCACUGGUGCCAGCCAAAAAGUGUGGUGGAUUCACAACAUCGACAAGGAAAAUGGGCUUACUUCGCAUGUUGUAUACAAUUUUUGCGGACAUCUAUUGGUUUCCUUGGGUUAUGACAGAUUUUAAGAAUAUGCUUUAUCGCUAUUGGCAAGGAAAACUUCCCAAGUCAUGUGAGUUUACAGACUGCGAAGGAAACACGGUAUCUUUGACAGAGUUCAAUGGAGUUACCUUUGAUAGGUCAUUUCUAGGACUACAGGACGCUGUAGAAAAUCCUAAUCACUUUCAAGCAAGAGAGGAUGAUAUAUGGGUGGUUAACUGGCCCAAAUCGGGAACUCACUGGUUGUGGGAGAUCAUCAUGAUG